AGGAUAAACGCUGGCGGCGUGCCUAACACAUGCAAGUCGAGCGGAAAGGCCCUUCGGGGUACUCGAGCGGCGAACGGGUGAGUAACACGUGAGCAACCUGCCCUUAGCUUCGGGAUAGCUCCGGGAAACCGGAAUUAAUACCGAAUAUGACUUUGGCUGACAUCAGCAGAAGUGGAAAGUUUUUCGGCUAGGGAUGGACUCGCGGCCUAUCAGCUAGUUGGUGAGGUAACGGCCCACCAAGGCGACGACGGGUA
Molecule: ribosomal RNA, 254 nt
Filed under: uncultured bacterium
Lineage: Bacteria
Description: partial small subunit ribosomal RNA
Rfam family: Bacterial small subunit ribosomal RNA
Source: RNAcentral